ACGAACGCUGGCGGCGCGCUUAACACAUGCAAGUCGAACGGAAAGGCCUGCUUUCCCUUGUGGAUUGCGGGUACUCGAGUGGCGAACGGGUGAGUAACACGUGAGUGAUCUGCCCCCAACUUGGGUAUAAGCCUGGGAAACUGGGUCUAAUUCCCGAUAGGACUGCAGGGUGGUGCCUGUGGUGGAAAACGAUUUUCUAGUGGUUGGGGAUGAGCUCGCGGCCUAUCAGCUUGUUGGUGGGGUAAUGGCCUACCAAGGCGGCGACGGGUAGCCGGCCUGAGAGGGUGGACGGCCACAUUGGGACUGAGAUACGGCCCAGACUCCUACGGGAGGCAGCAGUGGGGAAUAUUGCACAAUGGGCGGAAGCCUGAUGCAGCGACGCCGCGUGGGGGAUGACGGCCUUCGGGUUGUAAACUCCUUUCGACCGCGAGGAAGCCACCUGGUUGGAAGGGUGGUGACGGUAGUGGUAAAAGAAGCACCGGCUAACUACGUG
Molecule: ribosomal RNA, 493 nt
Filed under: uncultured bacterium
Lineage: Bacteria
Description: partial 16S ribosomal RNA
Rfam family: Bacterial small subunit ribosomal RNA
Source: RNAcentral